UGACAGCAUCACCCACAGCCACACCCUCCCCUACAGAAGACCUGACAGCACAGCCCCUCACCAUGGACUGGAGCUGGAGAGUCCUCUGCCUGGUGGCACUGGCUACAGGUGUCCACUCUGAGGUGCAGCUGGUACAGUCUGGGGCUGAGGUGAGGAAGCCUGGGGCCUCAGUGAAGGUCUCCUGCAAGGCUUCUGGAUGUACCUUCAUUAGCUACUAUAUGAACUGGGUGUGACAGGGCCCAGGUCAAGGCCUUGAGUGGAUGGGGGCAGUUAACCCAAACAAUGAUAGCACUGGAUAUGCACAGAAGUUCCAGGGCGGACUCACCGUAACUGCAGACAAGUCUGUGAGCACAGUCUACAUGGAGCUGAGCAGCCUGAGACCUGAGGACUCAGCUGUGUAUUAU
Molecule: long non-coding RNA, 404 nt
Organism: Phyllostomus discolor (pale spear-nosed bat)
Lineage: Eukaryota; Metazoa; Chordata; Mammalia; Chiroptera; Phyllostomidae
Exons: 2
Source: RefSeq, a predicted model, not a curated record